GGAAAGCCGCAGCUUCCAGUGCCAUUCCUCUCUUCCUACAAGGAGCUCACCACCAAACCUUCUCCUUGAUGAGGUGUCAGAAAGGUUGCGCUUUUAUAGACUCAAGGUUGGCAUCAUCAAGAAUAGAGAGGAAAAGUUGGAGGGCCUGAUGAGAGACACAAGUGAAAGAAAUGAAGGGGUUCAGAAGAUUCUGCCUGGUGUUGGACGUGUGUGUGUUUCUGUCUGCAGCGGGAGGAUAGAUGUGAGGCCAUGUGAGCUUCAACUUCUAGCUUUGAGUUCUCACUCCUCCUCCUCCCUCUCCGCAAUCAUCUGCAGCAAGUACUGCCACUGAUGCUGCAAACCCAUGUGGCCUGUGACACACUUCCAUGGGAUACUGAUCCUGAGGACUUGUUUCUUCUCUUUGACCGAUGGAAUACGUACUCGGGUCGUGUCAAUAGCCUACGGUGAGCUGCUGUGUUGUCUUCUCUCCUUGCUGUUACGUUUGGGAUUCGCUCUCCCCGCAAUUAAGUUUGAUUUUAUCAUAGGAUUUGAUUCCUCAAGAUUCUCUUUACCUUUUUGCUUAGGUUUUACUUAGGAUUAAAUUAUUGCCAGGUAUUUGAUUAUGACACUUGCAUAUAUUGAAUCUUUCGAGCUCUGACAACCUACUCUGCAGAUGUGCUUCAAGGGUUCACAGGUGGGGGUAUAUUCCCUGUGCUUUCUGAGCUAAAACAGGAAGACUAAAGCAUAAGGUAUAGUAAUUACUAUUGUCCUAAAGAUUACCUAUAUCAAUCAGUAGAGGAUUUAUAUUUGAUCUAGCAAUUUGGUCAAUCUCCUGGCAUAGAUUUCUUGAGCUUUGGAGAUGUGUGAGGGAUGUUUGAUUUCGACCUUCGAACAAGGUCUUCUUACUAACUAACUAGAAUUGACUGGAUCAUUAGCCUUUUCUCUUGGACAACACUUGCAUUCCUCAGUUUGCAGGGAAGGCAAAAAAAUGUGGAUGCUUAGUGAGAGACUUGUGUAUUAUUUUGUGCCAGUCCGUGCAGCCUAGUAAAAUGUUAUUACUUGGAUGAUCAGUAGAUGUCGCCCGGUGCCACACGGUUCAGACAUAUUCAACUAAA
Molecule: non-coding RNA, 1094 nt
Organism: Musa acuminata subsp. malaccensis (wild Malaysian banana)
Lineage: Eukaryota; Viridiplantae; Streptophyta; Magnoliopsida; Zingiberales; Musaceae
Source: RefSeq, a predicted model, not a curated record